AGAGUUUGAUCAUGGCUCAGGAUAAACGCUGGCGGCGCACAUAAGACAUGCAAGUCGAACGGACUUAAUCGAAAUAUUUAUAUUUUGAAGCGGUUAGUGGCGGACUGGUGAGUAACGCGUAAGGAACCUGCCUAUUAGAGGGGAAUAACAGUGAGAAAUCAUUGCUAAUACCGCAUAUGCCAUAGAUAUCACAUGAUAACAGUGGGAAAGGAGCAAUCCGCUAAUAGAUGGUCUUGCGUCUGAUUAGAUAGUUGGUGGGGUAACGGCCUACCAAGUCGACGAUCAGUAGCCGGACUGAGAGGUUGAACGGCCACAUUGGGACUGAGAUACGGCCCAGACUCCUACGGGAGGCAGCAGUCGGGAAUAUUGCGCAAUGGAGGAAACUCUGACGCAGUGACGCCGCGUAUAGGAAGAAGGUUUUCGGAUUGUAAACUAUUGUCGUUAGGGAAGAGAAAGGACAGUACCUAAGGAGGAAGCUCCGGCUAACUACGUGCCAGCAGCCGCGGUAAUACGUAGGGAGCGAGCGUUAUCCGGAAUUAUUGGGUGUAAAGGGUGCGUAGACGGGAGAACAAGUUAGUUGUGAAAUACCUCGGCUCAACUGAGGAACUGCAA
RNAcentral lists this ribosomal RNA (612 nucleotides) under uncultured bacterium. RNAcentral's name for it is "bacterial SSU rRNA". It matches the Rfam family "Bacterial small subunit ribosomal RNA", at positions 8 to 626 of the family's 1533-position model. The record is from RNAcentral.